RNAcentral lists this ribosomal RNA (496 nucleotides) under uncultured bacterium. Its description in RNAcentral is "partial 16S ribosomal RNA". It matches the Rfam family "Bacterial small subunit ribosomal RNA", at positions 29 to 507 of the family's 1533-position model. The record is from RNAcentral.
AUGAACGCUGGCGGCGUGCCUCAUACAUGCAAGUCGAGCGAACAGAUAAGGAGCUUGCUCCUUUGACGUUAGCGGCGGACGGGUGAGUAACACGUGGGUAACCUACCUAUAAGACUGGGAUAACUUCGGGAAACCGGAGCUAAUACCGGAUAACAUUUGGAACCGCAUGGUUCUAAAGUGAAAGAUGGUUUUGCUAUCACUUAUAGAUGGACCCGCGCCGUAUUAGCUAGUUGGUAAGGUAACGGCUUACCAAGGCGACGAUACGUAGCCGACCUGAGAGGGUGAUCGGCCACACUGGAACUGAGACACGGUCCAGACUCCUACGGGAGGCAGCAGUAGGGAAUCUUCCGCAAUGGGCGAAAGCCUGACGGAGCAACGCCGCGUGAGUGAUGAAGGGUUUCGGCUCGUAAAACUCUGUUAUUAGGGAAGAACAAACGUGUAAGUAACUGUGCACGUCUUGACGGUACCUAAUCAGAAAGCCACGGCUAACUACGUG